UGCACCUACGGGAGGCAGCAGUGGGGAAUAUUGGUCAAUGGGCGCGAGCCUGAACCAGCCAAGUCGCGUGAGGGAAGACGGUCCUAUGGAUUGUAAACCUCUUUUGUCGGGGAGCAAAAGACGCCACGCGUGGCGAUCCGAGAGUACCCGAAGAAAAAGCAUCGGCUAACUCCGUGCCAGCAGCCGCGGUAAUACGGAGGAUGCGAGCGUAAUCCGGAUUUAUUGGGUUUAAAGGGAGCGCAGGCGGAAGAUCAAGUCAGCGGUAAAAUUGAAAGGCUCAACCUAUUCUAGCCGUUGAAACUGGU
This 305-nucleotide ribosomal RNA is filed under the name uncultured bacterium. Its description in RNAcentral is "bacterial SSU rRNA". It matches the Rfam family "Bacterial small subunit ribosomal RNA", at positions 334 to 637 of the family's 1533-position model. The record is from RNAcentral.